CAGUCGCCACGGUAAUACGGAGGGGGCUAGCGUUGUUCGGAAUUACUGGGCGUAAAGCGCACGUAGGCGGCUUGGUAAGUUAGAGGUGAAAGCCCAGGGCUCAACCCUGGAAUUGCCUUUAAGACUGCCGAGCUAGUAGGUGAGAGAGGUAAGUGGAAUUCCGAGUGUAGAGGUGAAAUUCGUAGAUAUUCGGAAGAACACCAGUGGCGAAGGCGGCUUACUGGCUCAUUCUAGACGCUGAGGUGCGAAAGCGUGGGGAGCAAACAGGAUUAGAUACCCCUGUAGUCCCUGUCUCUUAUAC
This 301-nucleotide ribosomal RNA is filed under the name uncultured bacterium. Its description in RNAcentral is "partial 16S ribosomal RNA". It matches the Rfam family "Bacterial small subunit ribosomal RNA", at positions 509 to 807 of the family's 1533-position model. The record is from RNAcentral.